This 411-nucleotide ribosomal RNA is filed under the name uncultured prokaryote. RNAcentral's name for it is "bacterial SSU rRNA". It matches the Rfam family "Bacterial small subunit ribosomal RNA", at positions 505 to 918 of the family's 1533-position model. The record is from RNAcentral.
GUGCCAGCCGCCGCGGUAAUACGGAGGAUCCGAGCGUUAUCCGGAUUUACUGGGUUUAAAGGGUGCGUAGGCGGCCCAACAAGUCAGCGGUGAAAUGUGGCGGCUCAACCGUUUCGCUGCCGCUGAUACUGCUGGGCUUGGAUUCGGUCGAGGCGGGUGGAAUUCGUGGUGUAGCGGUGAAAUGCAUAGAUAUCACGAGGAACGCCGAUAGCGAAGGCAGCUCGCCGGGCCGCGAUCGACGCUGAGGCACGAAAGCGUGGGGAUCAAACAGGAUUAGAUACCCUGGUAGUCCACGCCGUAAACGAUGAUGGCUGGGUGUUCGUCCGUAAGGGCGAGCGCCUGAGGGAAACCAUUAAGCCAUCCACCUGGGGAGUACGGCCGCAAGGCUGAAACUUAAAUGAAUUGACGGGG